This 700-nucleotide ribosomal RNA is filed under the name uncultured bacterium. Its description in RNAcentral is "bacterial SSU rRNA". It matches the Rfam family "Bacterial small subunit ribosomal RNA", at positions 56 to 761 of the family's 1533-position model. The record is from RNAcentral.
UGCAAGUCGAACGAAGCAGAUGAGAAAGCUUGCUUUUUUAUUUCGCUUAGUGGCGGACGGGUGAGUAACGCGUGAGUAACCUGCCCUUCAGUGGGGAAUAACAUCGAGAAAUCGGUGCUAAUACCGCAUAACGUAUUUAUGUCGUAUGACAUUUAUACCAAAGGAUUUAUUCGCUGAAGGAUGGACUCGCGUCCGAUUAGAUAGUUGGUGAGAUAAUGGCCCACCAAGUCAACGAUCGGUAGCCGAACUGAGAGGUUGAUCGGCCACAUUGGGACUGAGACACGGCCCAGACUCCUACGGGAGGCAGCAGUGGGGAAUAUUGGGCAAUGGGCGAAAGCCUGACCCAGCAACGCCGCGUGAAGGAUGAAGGUCUUCGGAUUGUAAACUUCUUUGAUUAGGGAAGAAUUUUUGACCUGCCUAAAGAACAAGUCACGGCUAACUACGUGCCAGCAGCCGCGGUAAUACGUAGGUGACAAGCGUUAUCCGGAUUUACUGGGUGUAAAGGGCGUGUAGGCGGUUUUGCAAGUCAGAUGUGAAAUUCCCAGGCUUAACCUGGGCGCUGCAUCUGAAACUGCAAGACUUGAGUACUGGAGAGGAUAGUGGAAUUCCUAGUGUAGCGGUAAAAUGCGCAGAUAUUAGGAGGAACACCGGUGGCGAAGGCGACUAUCUGGACAGUAACUGACGCUGAGGCGCGAAAGCG